Molecule: non-coding RNA, 110 nt
Filed under: Bacillus sp. (in: firmicutes)
Lineage: Bacteria; Bacillati; Bacillota; Bacilli; Caryophanales; Bacillaceae
Also listed under: 1 other name
Description: Bacillus sp. TPP sequence
Rfam family: TPP riboswitch aptamer (THI element)
About the family: Vitamin B(1) in its active form thiamin pyrophosphate (TPP) is an essential coenzyme that is synthesised by coupling of pyrimidine and thiazole moieties in bacteria. The previously detected thiamin-regulatory element, thi box was extended, resulting in a new, highly conserved RNA secondary structure, the THI element, which is widely distributed in eubacteria and also occurs in some archaea.
Source: RNAcentral
GAUAACUACUAGGGGUGCCCUGUUUUGGGCUGAGAGAAAAACGCUACGUUUUUUAACCCUUCGGACCUGAUCUGGAUUAUACCAGCGUAGGAAAGUAGAGGAGAAGCAGU